UUGAUUUUUAUGAGAAAUAUCAAUGAAACAAUGUGUGAGUUGCUAACGUGCGGUAAUAAAUAAUCUGCUGACAGUCACACACAAUUAACUGACCGGCGACAAGGGGUGACCGGUUGAAUAAUAACCAGUCCCGUUUCUCACCGUCACUCUGCAUCGGGGAACUGAUUAUAAAAUUAUAAAACUGAUUAUAAAAUCACACUUCGGGGCCGUGUCCGGGAUCGCUGCAGAUUCAGGGUCACUGCCGAGGGAUUUGUCCAUUUAACAUCAUUAUAUCGGCCAGGCUGCCGAAUGCACCGUCCUCAGCAAAGGGGGCAAAAGGAUUCUCUCCCGGGACCAUCCCCCCCACCCCGGGACACCGGUGUCCCAGACUGAGCCCCGGACCCCGGGCUCUUCCUGUCCGGGUAAUUCCCCGGGGUGCCACGUGGGGAGUCUCCAACACGCACUUCCGGCGGAAGCUGCCCCGCCGGACAACAGGCGGAAACACGUCACUGCGGGACCGCUGCGAGCGACGCACACAGCGCGAGGCCCGAGCCGGUUCCGUUAAAACCGUUGGGAAUCAGCCCCGGCGCGCGGCCGUUAAAGAAAAGUGUUCCUGACGUGAGACAGUCGGAAAGGGCAGGUGUGAAGGGGAGAAGUCAAACAGUGAGGAAGAUUUGAGAAUCGGGAAAUGUCGAUGGGAGAUGGAGGAAGAGACAUCACCUAAGUUUGCACUUUAUCCCGUUGUGAUGCGGUUUGAACGGCAUCGUCUGGAUGAAAGUAAAUUAUGAGUGGGCUUAAAGCGAGACAAAACCAUAGUGGGCUCAGUGAGUCGCUCUGGAAAAUCCCUCCAUUUAUUUUGAUAGUGGUCGUUGUUCCUCUCUGGUUGUUACUAGGACGAUUAUUUUACGCGAAUGCUUCAUCAGUUGUAAAAAUUUCACGAGUAUUGUAUGAAUUGUAUAUAUAUUUGGAACUUCUCUUAAACACACGAGGAACAGAAUCAGAUGUGAUUUUUUUUUCUGAUUGACAAUAUAACAGUGAAAGUUUUCUGCUUUCCACAGGGUUUGAAAUAGAAUUACAUAAUCUGUUUAGAAUUCCUGUAUUCUGUCUGCUCUCCUGUGAGUAUAUUGUGGUUAUCUAAGUUGUUAUCUGAGUUGUUAUUAGUUACAAGACGUAAGAUGCUAUAAUUUUAGAUAUAAAAUUGUCUUAUUAUUAUUAAGAGCCAAUAAUAUCAUAGUAGGUGACCAUUUAGUAGUCUUAUAAAUGCAGAAUAAAGCUGUCGUUGAGGCUGGUGGUACAUACCUUCAGCCUUUUAUAUGUUCUCCCCCAUGGGAGUGUGACAGAGAGGAUGUAUGAGGUGGUUUGGGGUUAAGAGAAAGGCUUUGAGUCGGGUUUGUGUCUUGCCAGCUUGAUUGACUUCCUCCAGGAGGUGACAAAGGUGAUGCAUGUAGUUACACAUGGAUAUUGUCUACUUGUAUAUUGUGAGAGUGUUUGACAAAGUCCCACAAGGGAGGCUCAUACAGAAUAUUAACAUGCUUGAGAACUGUGGGGAAUUGUCCUGGCUGCCGGGGACAAACUGGGAGAAAUGUCUUGGCUGGCGGGUGGUGAAUCUGUGAAAUUAUUGUCAUAGACGGCUGAGGAAGACACUUCAUUGGAUAUAUUUAAAAUGCAGGUCGAUAUGUUCCUGAUUAGGAAGAGUGUCCACGUUUACUGGGAUAAUGGGGUGGAGAGGAAUUGAAGAGCAAAUUCACUGAGCCGAAUGGCUUAAUUCUGCUACUAGGUCUUAUGGUUUUAGGGAGCAUCUGGAGUAUUGUGUUCUCUUCUGAUUGUCCAGCUCUUGGAAGGAUUGGAGAGGGUGCAGAAUGGGUUCAUCAGGAUGUUGCCUGGAUUCGGUGACAUGUGCUACAAGUAGAGUUUUGAUAAACUUGGUUUGUUUAUUCUGGAGUUAGAAUAGAGAUCUGACUGAGGUGUACAAGUUUGAGAGAUAUAAGUCUGGGUCGAUAGCCUGUAUUUUGCUUGUUGUUUUUGUUUUCAUAUGACUGGUGUCUAAUACCAGAGGGCAUUUGGUUAAGGUGAGAUGGGGUAAAUUUACAGCAAUUGUGGGUAGUUUUCUAACAGAGUUGUGGAUGCCUGGAAUUUACUGUCUGGGUCAACAUGGCUUUGUGAAGGGAACAUCGUGCCUCACGCUAAUUGAGUUUUUUGACGAGGUAAUAAGUAGCAAUUGAUGAAGGUACGGUGUAAUAUGUGCUCCAGAUGGAUUUUAGCAAGGCAUUUAACAAGGUCCCUUACGAGAGACUCAUCCAGAAAAUCAUGAGGCACUGGAUAAUUGGAACCUUGGCUGUUUGGAUAAAUAAUAAAUAAUUGGAAGAAAGCAGAGUUUAGUAGUGGAAGGAAAGUAUUCUGCCUGGAGGUCGGUGACUAGUGGAGUGCCGCAGGGAUCUGUCCUGGGACCCCUGCUAUUUGUGAUUUUUAUAAAUGACCUGGAUGUAGAGGUGGAAGAAUGGGUGAGUGAACUUGUGGAUGACAUGAAGAUUGGAGGAGUUGUGGAUGGAGCUGGUUGUUGAAGGUUACAAGAGGAUAUAGACAGGGUGCAGAUUUGGGCGGAAAAGUGGCAGAUGGGGUUCAAUCCGGAUAAGUGUGAGGUGAUGCAUUUUGGAAGGACAAACCAGAAAGCUGAGUACAAGUUUAAUCGUUGGUUACUUAAGAGUGUGAAUGAACAGAGGGACAUUGGGGUUCAAAUCCAUACAUCCCUUAAGGUCGUUGCAAGGGUUGAUAGGAUAGUUAAGAACUCCUAUGGGAUGCCAGGCUUCAUUAAUAGGGGGAUUGAGUUCAAGAGUAGAGAGGCCAAGUUACAAAUCUACAAAUCUCUGGUGAGACCACACUUAGAGUAUUGUGUUCAAUUCCGGUCAACUCAUUAUAGGAAGGAUGUGGAAGCUAUGGAGAGGGUGCAGAGGAGAUUUACCAGGAUGUCGCCUGGUUUGGAGAACAAGUCAUGUGAAGCAAGGUUAGCAGAGCUGGGACUUUUCUCUUUGGAGCGUAGAAGGAUGAGAGGGCACUUGAUAGAGGUCUAAAGAAUUAUGAGAGGCAUAGAUGGGGUGGAUUGCUAGAACCUGUUUCCCAGGGCACCAAUAGCAAACACUAGAGGGCAUAUGUACAAAGUUAAGGGAGGGAAGUUUAGGGGAGACAUCAGGGGUAAGUUUUUUACAAAGGGUUGU
This is a long non-coding RNA of Hypanus sabinus (Atlantic stingray), 3191 nucleotides long. RefSeq lists it as uncharacterized. The transcript is spliced from 4 exons. NCBI's taxonomy places the organism in Eukaryota, Metazoa, Chordata, Chondrichthyes, Myliobatiformes, Dasyatidae. The record is from RefSeq and is a predicted model, not a curated record.